AUAAACUUUAUUUGAUGACUUUUUCUGCUGGGUAUCACCUGUCUUGUUUCUCCAUCAGCCUGUACUAAGCAUGGUCGCUUGCUUGUUCAUUUGCUUCUUCAUUCAUUCAACAUUUUGUGAGGUCCAAUAUCUUGGUUAGGUAUGGAGGAUAUAAAGAUGAUAAAUUAUGGGCCUUAAAAAAAAAGAAUCUAUGAGUCUGUUAGAGACUGAAACAGGAUAAAUUACUAAUAUAUCCCAUUAAUUGAAAAUGCCAACAGGUUUAGUAGAAUAGCAAGUGAAUUAAUUAAGUUGUGCCUCAGGGAUUACAAAAAAAUGGUUUCAUAGGAUGACUUAAAGACUUACAGCUUUUUUGUAAUGUGAGAAGAAUAAUAACUACCUGCCAUAUAGAACUGUUGCCAUCUGAGAAAAUGUGUAUGAAAAUGCUUUGUGAAGUUUGUGUAUUUAAAUACUAGCUUUGAAGAUCACAUAACAUAAACUGAAAAACAUCAAUUUUGGAUUAAGGCUUAGAUUUGAGUCAUGAUUGACAUUUGCUAGCUAUGUAGCCUUAGGCAAGUAACUGAUUUGUUAUCCCUCCAGUUUCUUGAUCUCUUGAGAUGAUAAUAUUGCUCUUAAAAGAACUUUUGUAAUUAGAUGAAAUAAGUGUCUUGGAAGAAACUAGCUCUCAGCAAUAACUAGUUUCCUUUUUUUUUAAAUAUUUAUUUUAUUUAUUUAUUCCCCUUUGUUGCCCUUGUUGUUUUAUUGUUGUAGUUAUUGUUGUUGUUGUAAUAACUAGUUUCCUAUCUACCAUUUGUCUAUGUUAUCUUCAGUGAGAGAUGAGAUUUUGGAAACAAAACACAGAUAUAAGAGUUUUGAUAAGGGAUUGUGAGCUUCUGUAGAGCAUUUUAUAGAUACUUGCUUUGGGGAGUCGGGCAGUAGCACAGCGGGUUAAGCGCAGUGGCGCAAAGCGCAAGGACUGGAGAAGAGAUCCUGGUUUGAGACCCUGGCUUCCCCACCUGCAGUGGGAGUCGCUUCACAAGUGGUGAAGCAGGUCUGCAGGUGUCUAUCUUUCUCUCCUCCUCUCUGUCUUCUCCUCUCUCCAUUUCUGUCUGUCCUAUCCAACAGCGACAACAACAACAAUGGUAACUACAGUAAUAAAACAACAAGGGCAACAAAAGGGAAUAAAUAAAUAUUAAAAAAAAAAAUGCUUGCUUUGAUUGGUCUGGAAGAUGGCGCAGCGGAUAAAGCAUUGGAUUGUCAACCAUCAGGUCCUGAGUUCAGUCCCCGGCAGCACAUGUACCAGAGUGAUGUCUGAGUCUUUCUCUCCUAUCUUACUCAUGAAUAAAUAAAUUCUUAAAAAAAAUAAAUAAAUAUUUGCUUUGAAGCAGAUAGAAUUAAGCUAGUAAUUGGGAAGAUGAACAGAAUUAAAGGAACACUUGAGGAUUUGUUUGUUUUUAAUAUGGGAGAGAUUUAGAUCCUUAUUUGGGAUAAAGGGAGAGAGGAAGGAAAAGGGUAAGCUGAGUAUAGGUCAGAGAAUGUCUCAGACGAUGCUGUAGCUCAUUUCAGAAGGAACCCUAGGUUGGUCCAUAUGUAAAAUAGUCACUGAUUCUGUAUGCUAUUUGAGAUCAUUAAAACUAAAUUGAGGGAGUCUGGUCUAGGUAGCGCAGCGGGUUAAGUGCAGGUGGCGCAAAGCGCAAGGACCAGCGUAAGGAUCCCGGUUCAAGCCCCCAGCUCCCCACCUGCACAGGCGGUGAAGCAGGUCUGCAGGUGUCUGUCUUUCUCUCCCCCUCUGUCUUCCCCUCUUUCAAUUUCUUUCUGUCCUGUCCAACAACAAUGACAUCAACAAUAACUACAGUAAUAAAACAACAAGGGCAACAAACAAGGGAAUAAAUAAAUAUAAAAAAAAAAAACAACUAAAUUGAAGGGCCGGGCCUGGUGGUAGAGUUGGUGGAACACAUAUGCUACAACUCACAAGAACCCAGGAUCAAGCCCUCUCCUAUAUGGGGAAGCUUCAUGAGCAGUGAGCUGGUGCUGCAGUUGUCUUUCUCUCUUCUAUCUCCUACUUUCCUCUUGAUGUCUUUCUCUAUCCAGUAAAUAAAUUAAGACAACAGAAAUUAAAUAGAAAAUUCAUUUCCUUAGUUGCUUUGUCAGUUACGCAGUAGCCACGUGUGGUGUUGGCUACAACUGGAUCAUGAAGAUAAAACGCAUUUUUAUUAUUACAGAAAAGUAUAUUCGAUUGUAUAUAGAAAGUAUAUUGCUUUAGCACGAAAGUUAUGAGGCAGAAAGAAGAGAAUGAAAAUUAGUUCAGGGAAUUCUAAAGUAGAAGUUGUGGAUAGUCUCUUAAUACUGAACUUUUUUCAGGGCUGGCUGGUGGCACACCUGGUUGAGUGCACAUAUUACAGUGCAUAAGGACAGGGGUUCGAUUCCCCGGUCUCCACCUGCAGGGGGAAAGCUUUGUGAGUGGUGAAGCAGUGCUGCAGGUGUCUCUCUGUCUCUCUCUAUCUCCCCAUCUCCUCUCAAUUUCUGGCUGUCUCUAUCCAAUAAAUAAAGAUAAUAAAAAAAAUUAAAUACUGAACUUUUUCUUGAGCGAUUGCAAAGAAUUUACUUAGGGAAGGAGGUGGGCAUAUUAGGAGAAAGUGGUGAAUGCUGUUACCUCCAAAGGUAGUUGUCAUGGACCCUCACUGCAUUUCACAUUUUAGUUCAAAUCCAUUCUAUUUAAAUGUUAUAUUCUGGCCAUGCACCACCACCCUCCUUGUAUUGGUUUGCAUUCUUCCUUCCAUUUGCAUUAGAAAUUCCCAUUCUAUAUUAUGUCAUUUCUUUUGCAAAUUAAAAAAGCCCUUUGCCAUCUGCCCAGACUACAGCAGAAAUUUGAGAGUAACGUGUGUCCUUCACAGCAGCCAUGUUUAUCCAUUGCUCUGCAUUCUUGAACCCUGUCUCUACAUUGGCACUUGGGCAGUUUUGAUUAGCCAUCAUUCCAUUGCUUUGCCCCAUCUUAUAUCUGCCCUCCCUUAUAUCCUCACCCUUUGGUUAAGUCCUGCUUCCUCUCUAGCUCUGCUUUCUCUAACCGGGAAUUAAUUAUUCAUUUUUCAAAGUAGAAAGCACUCCUUCGUAGCUGUUAGGAGAUCUGUUACGGUUAGAUUUAAUUCAAUGCUGUUUUAUGUUUUCUUAUUCCUUCCAGCUCUUUAUAACUUUCCUAAAGCAGUUAAAUUAUGCUCCCCACACAAUAUCAGAUAUUUUCAUUUGACUUUUGUAAAUGGAAAAAGUUCCCUCUAUUUUUUUGUCUGGCUUAUACUUUCACUAUUUGUCACAGAAUUUUAGAACAAAGGAAUAUUUUUCUUUUUGGUAAGAAAAAGCAUUAGACCUGGAAGGAAUGUUAGAGGGAGAUCAUCCGUAAAACUUACUUCACAAUGAAAAUCAAGACUCUUUUAAAGAAGCUUAGUGAUUUGCCCAAGGACAUUCUCUUAUUGUGGGCAUAGUGGGGAUGAACACCUGAGGGUCCUAACUGCAAAUCUAGUAGUUAUUGUCUUCAGGAUCUUGAAAAUGCCAUUUAUGGUGAAGGGAAAGGGCUCAAUAAUUACUGAUUACUAAUGAAAUGUAACAUAUUUUGAAUGCAAUGCGAAGUUAUAAUAUUGAUUUCUUUAUUUUAUUAGUAAAAACAUUUAGUUUUCAACUAUCAUAUAAUUAUUACCACUAGUUACUCGAAAUCUCAGUCAUUUUUGUUUUGCGCUAGUACUGCAUUUACUUUGUAACAAAAUAAAAAUUAUGGUGGAGGACUGUGAA
Molecule: long non-coding RNA, 3756 nt
Organism: Erinaceus europaeus (western European hedgehog)
Lineage: Eukaryota; Metazoa; Chordata; Mammalia; Eulipotyphla; Erinaceidae
Exons: 2
Source: RefSeq, a predicted model, not a curated record